ACAACACUCCUAAUAUCCUGCCUCUAAAGCAAAGGGGUGGAAUUAGCCAUCUGAUGGUGUAGGGACAGCUAGCUACCUUUCUUGGAACUAAGUGUGACAGCUAAGUAGGAGAGUGACAGAUCUCUUCUCCUUUGCAAUCACCACUGGUUCUUUGGAAAACUCCAAACUGCUUUCUCUCCCAAGCUCCUCUCAUCAUCUGCCUCCUUUCCCUCUGGCUUGUCAGCGCUGAUUCAGCAUCAGUCAGAUGUCCUUGGGCCCUUGGGCUUGUUGGGAUGAGAAAGGGAAAGAAGGGCGGGACCUGCCAGUAACCUGGAAUGCUUUUAGUAGGUUGAAUCUGAAAAUGGGCUGUGAGAAAUUAUAAUCUCGCUUCAACUGCUUGCAACCAGCAUGUCUUGGUAUGUAUUUAUUUAGUCUCCGCCUCUAGAUCAGAGAGACCUUGUAAUCUGUAGCCUUAUCACACUAACCAUAGCCAACAGGUCACCAGCAUUCCCACAACCUCCCGUCUGUCCUUAAAACGCACGAUUGUCUUUUUACACACUCAUGAAUCUAGCAGCU
This 555-nucleotide long non-coding RNA is filed under the name Rattus norvegicus (Norway rat). Its description in RNAcentral is "long non-coding RNA NONRATT027893". Lineage: Eukaryota; Metazoa; Chordata; Mammalia; Rodentia; Muridae. The record is from RNAcentral.